This 628-nucleotide ribosomal RNA is filed under the name uncultured Jiangella sp. RNAcentral describes it as "bacterial SSU rRNA". It matches the Rfam family "Bacterial small subunit ribosomal RNA", at positions 338 to 974 of the family's 1533-position model. Lineage: Bacteria; Bacillati; Actinomycetota; Actinomycetes; Jiangellales; Jiangellaceae. The record is from RNAcentral.
CCUACGGGAGGCAGCAGUGGGGAAUAUUGCGCAAUGGGCGGAAGCCUGACGCAGCGACGCCGCGUGGGGGAUGACGGCCUUCGGGUUGUAAACCUCUUUCGCCAUCGACGAAGCCUUUGGGUGACGGUAGGUGGAGAAGAAGCACCGGCCAACUACGUGCCAGCAGCCGCGGUAACACGUAGGGUGCGAGCGUUGUCCGGAAUUAUUGGGCGUAAAGGGCUCGUAGGCGGCUUGUCGCGUCUGCUGUGAAAGCCCGGGGCUUAACCCCGGGUCUGCAGUGGAUACGGGCAGGCUAGAGUCCGGCAGGGGAGACUGGAAUUCCUGGUGUAGCGGUGGAAUGCGCAGAUAUCAGGAGGAACACCGGUGGCGAAGGCGGGUCUCUGGGCCGGUACUGACGCUGAGGAGCGAAAGCGUGGGGAGCGAACAGGAUUAGAUACCCUGGUAGUCCACGCCGUAAACGUUGGGCGCUAGGUGUGGGUUCCCUUCCACGGGGUCCGUGCCGUAGCUAACGCAUUAAGCGCCCCGCCUGGGGAGUACGGCCGCAAGGCUAAAACUCAAAGGAAUUGACGGGGGCCCGCACAAGCGGCGGAGCAUGCGGAUUAAUUCGAUGCAACGCGAAGAACCUUAC